RNAcentral lists this long non-coding RNA (22060 nucleotides) under Capsicum annuum. RNAcentral describes it as "long non-coding RNA (CANN_LNC022193)". The record is from RNAcentral. Lineage: Eukaryota; Viridiplantae; Streptophyta; Magnoliopsida; Solanales; Solanaceae.
AACAGCUUCACAAAACAACGGCAAAACCCAAUGCACCGACAAAAACACAGUCAACGACAAUUGACCUAUCUCCAACUACCUGACCAGUGGUGACCCAUCCAAACGCAAACCCAAUCUGAUUUCAAGGCAUACAAAACAAACCCGUAAGAGAUAAACCUCAGUAAUGAUUAUUAGCAAUGGUCAAUUCUAGCUCAUAGGAAUAACACCUCAUUAUUUGUCCUUUCUACUCCAAAUUCGUAUCAUACGUGUCUUGAAUUUCCUUAAUCUCCAAAGAUAUUGUUUGAAUUUCAAAUUUUCAAAAUCAAUUUCCCCUAAAAUCCAUGGAACCUAUAUAAUAUUCCGACAAUUUCAACCUGUUGUUUUUCCAUUGUUCAAUUGUAAGGGAAAGGAUGAUGACCCCUUUCAUCAUCGUCUAUUUUUGUAGAGAUUGAUUCAUGGCCGUGCAAUUUAGGUUUUUUUACCCAAAUCCCAUAUCGAUGGGAAUUCGUCCCUCAAUUUGCCUCUAUAUAAGGAGCUCACUGUUGAGCUUGGAGGGGGGUUGAAAAAAUUUCCACAAAGCAGAAACACACAAAAAAGGAAAAAAAAUUGGUCGCAAGAAUAGGCGAGAAUUUCCGUCAGUAAAAUUUUUAGGAAAGGUAGUCUACUAGUUGAUACUUUCACAGCGGCAUUGAAUUUUUUGGUGGUGGUGUAGUCCAAAGGGGCUUGAGGUUCCGUUUUACUGCACUCGAACUGGUAAUAUCCCAUUUCGUUGAGCAUUUAAUUGCUUCUGCUUCAUCUUGACCUUCUGCAGUUGUAAGUCUUUAGUAAUAUUAUAUGCUGGGUUAUUUGAUGGUAGAUGGAUUUAAUAGCCAUAGGUUUCAUUCGUGAUAGUUAUAGUCAUAUCGAUAUUUGAAUCAAUGUGUACGAUGUUACUGUGUAGUACUGAUAAGGACAUGUUCUUCACCAACACACGUUAAAUCCACUAUUUUUAUCUAUGUUCUUUCUUUUGAUUUAUGGCAUGUUAUAUGGUCUGAGCAACAUUUGUUGAUGGAUUUUUUAUCAAAUACUCUCAUUUUGUAUACUAUUUGAGAUUUGAAUAAGAUGGUUUCACAGUAAAGUUUCAUGCUUUGAAUUUAUUUAGUAGUUUCAUAAUAAAGUUUCAUGCUUGAAGUUUUUGGUAGUUUCAGGCUAAGCUGGUUUCAUAGCUAAAUUUCCAUGCUUUGACGCAUUUGAUAGUCUCGAACUGAUAGUCGUCUUGAUUUAUUGUUACAUAUGAGGUUGUCUACCUUUCCAUUUUUAGUUUGUUAGUUGUGCCCUUUGAUAUCAAAAAUCUGAAAUUUAGAUUUCUGUUUGCUUUAGAUUUGUGUAUUCUGAUUAUAAAGUAAACUUGAUAGUGUUUUAUUGAAUUGUCAGAUACUUGAAUGGGUUAGUUUGAAGAGAAUGUCUCUACUUUUAUUUCUAUUACUCUAUAUGCGUAGUUUAUGUUUGGGCUGGGGAUUCCUCGAGAUUUCUUUUUCUUGGUCAAUAUCAUCAAGAAAGGAUAGAUGAAGUCAUAUUCAUUUUGCUAUCGAAAGCAAGGCUGAAGGACGGAGUAGAACAUCACUGUGGUAUAUCUCUAUCAUUCGAGAGCCUACUUCCAAGGUUCUGCUUUAAAUUGUUUGGGAUUCUUAAAUGCAUUUCUGCCCUUGUUUUGUCGGGAUUGAUUAUCAUACAGUAGUUGCCUUAGGUACUAAGACCCUUACUAUCAUAACUAUUUAACUUGAUGUCUAUAGUAUUUCGAGUCCAAGAAAGAAGCUUUGGUUGUUCAUCAGUAUUAACUAUUUGAUGCUUGAAGUUUUGGAUGUGCAUUAGUAGUUCCUACUAGUUUCUUCUUGAAUGGAGCUUUGAUAUAGAGGAUUCUUUCUCAAAAGGGUUGCCUUUUAAGUUUCUGAUAAUGCCCAUUUAGGCUCGCCAAUAUCUUUUUUAAAAAUUUUGGUCUAGAAAUGGAUUCAUUUUUUGGUUUCCUUUAUUGCUUCGGUAUUAGCCGAUUUUUGUGUUAAUGUUUCGCACUUACAAGCAUAUCUCGUGGUUGGUUAAUCAAAUUUUAUUUAUUGAAUAUCCAUGUUAUGUCUUUCUCUUUAGUCAAUUACGUAUCGGUUUCCCUUUAUAUACUUUUUCUAUCUCUUUUUUUUCUUAUUUCUUGUUGCUUGCCUCCUUAGUUUUCCUGAAUUUUUGCCUUAUAUCACUGUGUACUUCUAGGGAAUAGAUUUUUGUAAUGUUCUGUAAUGAUACUUUACUUGAUCAUAUUUUUAAAAAAGAUGAGACUUCAUUAAUUUAUUUGAUCGGUAAUCAUAACAUCUUUCUGUCCACCUUUUUCGUGUCCUACAGUUCCAAUUUCAACAUUUUUGGUGUUGUUUUUUUGUCGUAAGAACUAACAUACAUCCUGUGUCUUCCCUUAAGCUCUUAUGGAUGAUCAUGUUUUGUCUAAAAUAUACAGGAGAUACCCACAUCGAUCAAUUAGUGGAAUGAUGACUAGCCUUUGCUGAUUUAACAGCAAAAGGAAGAAAAUAAGAUUUCAUGAAUCAAUUCUUCUUUUGUUAAUUAGUGGGGUAUUUUGCUUUAGACAUAGUUUCAAAAUUUAAACAUUUUGAUAAUUAGUUAGAACUUAUAAGGCUCGUUCGAUCGCCUAAUGAUUAGAUUAAUUCUCAUAUCUUGAUUAUGCCUGUUGUUCGAGUUGACGUGUGUGUCUUACUACUUUCGGCUGUCCCGCGACUAUUUUUUUGGAUCCUUGUUUUUUUUGCUUAUGUAGUUAAUAUGUAUAAAUUUUCUUCAUAUAUACUUAACUCCUCCGGUUGAUCAUGUAUUAGCCAGUCUAGCUUCCUACUUUGGUUGAGCAUGCAUUGAUUUCCUUUAAUCUUCUUUUUCACAACCUUUGCAGAAUAUAUAUUAAUUUGUUUUCUUUUCUUUCUUUGAAUGGAAAUCAUUUGAGUCCUACAUGGACUCAUCCCUUUUUGCAUAUCUAUCAUGGCCAAUGAGGCCUAUUUUUUGAGUCAAGCCCAAAGCCGGUUAAAUUGCACAUGGAUACAAGGAGUCAAAAGAGGAAAAAAUGGGUUAAAGUCCCACAUUUGAAGUAGCUAAGAGACUCAACAAUCUUAUUUUUUAUUUUAUUUUAUUUAAUUAUUUUUGCCUUUAUUUUUUUUACUUACUUAUUUAUUAAUUCAUUCAUUUAUUUGGGGCCUCGAAGCCAAAGUUGUAAAUUUAAUACUGGUGGAACAAGACUCGAGUCAAAGGCUCAAAAACUACAUUAGGACAGGUGAAAUGGGUCAAAAGCCCAAUUAGACUAGGACAGGUCUUGUUGAUUUGGGCCUAAUGGCCUAAAUCUUUUUACUUUCUCCUUCCUUCCCCCUUUUUAUGUGUUUAUUUGCUUAUUAGUUUUGUUUAGACUUAGUUAAAAUCCCUACUAAGUAGCCUAAAUCUAUUUUACACAAGUCUUUGCUAAAAAAUUGAUCACUUUUCUAUAAAUCAAUCUUUUUUAAGUUAGUCAAAAGACGUUUUCAAACAGUCUGGAAAAAGCAAGUCAGAGGAAGUUUUAGGUGCCUUAAAACCUUCCUAAACCAUAGCGAAUUUUCUAUUUUAGAUCGGUUAAGUAACUUUCAAAGGUUUUCGUAAUUCCUUUUCAAAUAAAUUAAGUGGCAACUCUUUAAAAAGUUAAAAUUUUCGCAAAAUAGAAAUGAGGACUCUGCUGGGGAUAUUUUAACUUGGUUCUAACCAAAUGUUUGAUUUCGUCUUUGAUUAACUGUCUAUGUGAUUAUAUGUUCAAUUUUACAGUAUUUAAUUAUUGCAUCUCAUAGCAUUUUCUUGUAUUUAUUUAUAAACUAUUUUGGGGUUUCGUGGAUAUCCUGGCCCCUAUUGUUCAACUCCAAAUAAUGUGUUGGAAAUAUAACGGUUUAUUAGAAUGUGAGUCAUCUGAUGGUUGUUCAUAUUUUCAAACGAAAGUCGUUCUCUUGGGAACCUGGUUCAAACUCACUCUAGAGACCUAGGAUAGAGUGAAACCAAAAACUUAUUUUAGGCAUGAGCUUAGGAACACCCAAUACCCAAAGGGGGUAUUGGGCCCAUUAGAAAACUUGCCCUGCAUCUAUUGACCCUGAAUCAAUUACAGAGGAAUCAUAUUUAUGUAUUGAAGAAAAUAUAUGUUUGUUUAAUUCAAUCCAUUAGCCUUUGUAGUUGAGGGAAGGCUCAUCUUUGUCUGCUUUCGUGUAUGAUAUGGCUCAACUGCAUUCCUUGCAAAAAGUUCAAGAUGGCUAUAGGACCCGAUAAUUUCCUGAAACUAUGGUGGGAUUACAUGAUCAGAGGAUAAAUAAAGAUUGUUAGAACACAUAUCGAGCAUUUACCUUCAUUGAUUGAGAAGGACGCUUGGCCCGAAAUGAUCCACGUGCUGACGACCUUUUAGGAUGAUCAGAAUAUGGUGUUUCGCUUCAGGGAUGUUGAAUUGACUCCCACUAUUGAAGAAGUGUUGAUUUGUAAUGAGAGUAUUGAAAUGUGUUUCAAGAGAAAAGAGACACCCGAUAAGAACAUUCUAGUUCCGGUUGUAUGGGAUCGUCAAGAAAUCAAGGUAUUUUUACUUGAUGAUAAUACCAGGAUAGGGGAACGUGAUGCGAAAAAUAUCUCUUUUCAUGAUUUGUAAAUCCUCUUUGGAAGGUUUAAUUCUUUUCAAAAGUUCGGACAUAAAUUUGAGUUGGAAGCAAAAUGGAAGGAGACAAGAGCAUUUGCAUUUGUGGUAGGCCUACUUGGAACUAUGGUGUUUCCACAAAGGGAAAUGGUGCAAUUAAUCCAAGGUUUGUCACAGUGACCCAUGAACUCUUCUAUGGAAUGAAUUAGGGGAACUUAUCUCCCAUUAUUGUAGCCGACAUAUAUCGAGCUUUGGGAAGAUGUCAAGCCGAGAAUCAUUUCUUUCAAGGUUGCAACCUUAUCUUGCAAUGGUGGAUGAUAAUGCAUUUGGUGAAAAAUCCUAGAAUGGUACAGCCUGAUCAUAAAAUGAGAGAGCAUCUUUUAUCAUCGCAUGACAUGUGGCUGUUCCUGCACAAGUUCAAAAGGGAAAUAUCUCUGGGAUUUUGGUUUAAUACUUUUAGAGAAUUAAGGGAUGAUGAUGUCCAAUGGUCCAUUAAAUAUCUUUUUUCAUGGUGAUACACCAUUCGAGGGGGUGAAUGGCCUUUUCUAGUGCUUCCAUGUUUAGGGGGACCCAUCCCUACAAUCCUGGCAGAGUUCUUAGCUAAUUCGAGAUCAAGCAGGAGACACUCUAAAUCCAGUCUAUGCUUAGAUUCUUCACUGAGUAUGAUGAAGGGGAGUCUCUAAUCAAAGACUACAUGGUAAAUAGAAGGAGAAGAAGAGAGUGGAAGAAAUCUCUUUUCGUAUCUAGUAUGAACCCAAAGUCAGCGAUAGUUACAAGGAGUGGUUGAACAAGAGUCUCGAUGGAGCAUUGAUUCCAGGGCCGAAUAUACAUACUCAGGUUGUUGAUGUAGAAUCAGAGCAUCAUAUCCGACUCCACAGGAUUUGAGAUGAAUUUCAAAAAAAUGAAAUCGCACACAAACAAAUGCAUAUAGAGUAUGCUUUGACUAUACAUAUGUUGAAGAAAGAGUUGAAGCGAGCCAGGCAGGAGGCUGAUGAUGCUAGGCAGUGUCUAAUCGAUUUGGAUAAUAGCAUGGUUUCUCAAAUUGAUAGUAUAGAAAGAAUGACCUACGACAACAAGGCACAGUUGUGCGGGAGUCAUCUGAUUAUCAACAGGUAUCAAAUAUCACAGGAGGUGAACAAGGAUAAGAAGGAAAAGGCAAACGAAGAAGCAUCCAGUAGCUAGUUUUUCUAUUCCCUUGCGUGGGACCUUAUCUUCUUUCAUGUUAUUUCCCUUUCCCCUAAAGAUUGUAUCCCUCUUUGUUAUCUUUUGUAGGUAUUUAUUCCCUUUUACAUAUCUAUAAAAGUUAGGGGUAUAAUGGAUUGUCUUUAAAAAGGUAUAUAUUUUCUUCAAAAUUCAUUAGGCCCAAAUCCUUGGCUCAAAAAGGGUCACCUCAGUAGGAUACAUGGUAUUAUAAUGUUUAUGUGAUAUAACUGUCUUAUGUGUUUAUGUGUGUUUGUUUGAAUCAAAGGUAAAUUUAUCCACUAUGCUCCCACGAAUAAGUUUAUCUAUGGCACCAACAACUCUAUGUGGUUACUUCUUGUCAAGUAUCUUGCAUUACCGAUCACGUAUGGAAACUAACACAUCAACCUUUGAGUUAUUUUACUUUACAGAUAGUUGAAAACUAUUUAGUAUUGAAAUAAGCUGGAAGAACAUUCUUACUUCACUCGGUCGAAAGCGCAUAAGAUCCCAUCCUCUGACCAUCAUUCAAAAAUGACCAAAAAUGAUGAAGAAAAUGCGUUGACCAUCAGGGACAAUGUAAUACCAAAACAAAGAGAGAUGAUUGUCAAGCUCGCGAGAAUAUUGGAAAUGCUUCAGGAGGAGAUGAAUCGUACCCGAGAUUUGGAUAACCUGGCCAUCACUAUCAAUGCUCCCACUCCAGGAGGACACAUAACUCCACUCCAUAUCCCUCCCCUUAGUAUGCCUAUUCUCAGGAAUCAUCCAAAUAAUAUAUCGUCUAUCUCUGCUCCUCAACUUGUCCAAAACACCAACCGAGAAAAUAACCAGAUGCUUACCAUCCAUAACAUCCACAAAACCCGUCUCCAAAUCCAUAAAAUUCAUUCUCAAAUUCCCAGAAUCCAUUUUCAAACCCACAAAAUCCACUUCCAAAUCCAAAAAAUUUGCUCUCAAAUCUACAGAAUCUAUCCCCAAAUCUACCAAAUCCAUCUUAGAAUCCACAAAAUCCAUUUCCAAAUUCACAAAAUCCUUCUCAAAUCCCACUAAACUAUUCUUAAAUUCCACAAAACUUUUCUAAUUUCCAAAAUAUUCUCCCCACCUACCAACCAACCUCCUCUCAUCCUCAAAAUUAAUCUACUCUUCUAAAUAUCUCUCAUAUCACCAUAUCCCCUAAUAUCUAUAAUUCUUUUCCCAAUCCUGAGAUUGACCAUUACGAGGAGAAGGAAAAGAAGUGGAGGAUCGAGCGUGAAAUGAAGUUGUUCGAUAUGAAUGAAAAGAUUAUAAGGAUCAAUGAAUCUCAUAGGACGGGGGACAAUGAUGGCCUUGGUUACGAUGAUCUAUGUGCUUACCCUGGAGUAGAUCUACCAUAAGGAUACAAGGUCCCUAAAUUUGAGGUGUUCAACAGUAAUGGAAAUCCGAUGUCCCAUCUGAGAAGGUAUGGUGAUCAAAUGGUGGGGGUAGGAAAAAAUAAGGCAUUAUUGAUGCGCUUAUUCAGCCGAAACUUAAGCGGCGAAGCCUUAGAUUGGUUCACAUCUCAAGAACUGAAAAGAUGUACUAGUUGGAGGGCAUUGUCUAAGGGUUUCCUUAAUAGGUUUGCAUUUAACAUUGAAAUAGUCCCUGACUAAUACUCAUUAGACCGAAUUAAUCAAAAGAAUGAUGAGUGCUUUCGGGACUAUGCCUUCUAUUGGAGAAAAGAAACUGCCAAAGUACAACCUCCUAUGUCUGAGGAAAUGAUGGUGUCUAUGUUCUCUCGCGCUUAGGAGGGAGAAUAUUAUACUAGGAUAGUAUCUGCAGUCAGAGCAACUUUUGUAAAUUUGGUAAAAAUUGGGGAAUCGCCAGAAGAAGGCAUUUGAAUGGGAAAGAUUGUUAGAACUCCAACGUCAUCUAGGAUUUUUGUGUUCCCAAAAAAGAAAAAAGAAUAUGUAGGCGCAGUCUCUGCUGAUUCUGUUACUAAAUUUAAGAAAUAAUUCAAGCCUAGGAACAGUCUCUCCUCUCCUCCGUCACCAAAUUUUCAGCAUGUGUGCUACACCCAACCCCAAUACCAAGCUCCACUCCCAAAUACUCAAUCUUAAUACCAAGCUCCACUCCCAAAUAUCCAAUCCCAAUACCAAGCUCCACUCUCAAAUAUCCAAUCCCAAUACCAAGCCCCAUAGCCAAAUAUCCUACCUCAAUACCAAGUUCCGCAACUGAAUUAUCAACCUCAUGCUCAAGCUGCCCUUCUAAAUAACCGAACAAGUGAUCAAGCACCUCUAAAUUAUCAUCAAGUACCUCCUCCUUUUAAACGGAAGCAUUAUAACCCCCCACGUCCAAACCUUAAAAAAAGACCUUGAAACUUCACGCCAUUGGCCAAGAGUACCCAACUCUUUGGGAGAUUAAAGGACGCUGGUCAUUUAUAGGCUAUCUAACCAAAAAUUAUCAAUGCCAAUUCUUGAUUUCAAUAGGCUAAUCAAAAUUAUGCCUAUUACUCGGGAGUGGUAGGGCAUAGUACCGAGGAUUGCAUUAACCUGAAGCAUAGAAUCCAAGACUUGAUUAAUCAGAAGAUCAUCACGCUUCAGUCACCGGCACAAAAUUUCAACAGUAAUCCCUUGCCCAAUCAUUGGGGAGCUGCAGUUAACAUGAUUGAAAUAAAAGGCGAAUGGGUGUCUAGCAAGACCAUUACUAAGGUGAAUUCAAAAAAGUUCAAAUGAAUGGAAGAAGUGAAGAAGAUAGAGAGGGUCGUAGCUUCCUUAAUUGUCAAUGCAAAGCCUCCAUUUAUAGUAAUGACAGCCUCAAUUUAGGUGUACACUCAUCCAUCUAAGAAGGAAUUUAUUGUAGAGACUCACUGCCCAAGGGAUGCCACGAUCUGGGUGAUGCUACAUCCCUGAAGAUUUAACCAAUAGGAAGGAUUCAUAGAAAAGUCCAAUCACUAAAGAGGAGGUCGAGGAAUUUUGGAGGCGUAUGAAACCAAAAGACUACUCAAUUGUCAAGCAUUUAGAGGAGACUCUAGCCCAUAUUUCUAUUUUGGCACUACUAAUGAAUUCACAAUACCACCUACAAGCUUUAUUAAAGGUCUUGGAUAAAACGUAUGUUCCCAUAGGCAUGAGUGUCGAGAAGCUAGCUACUAUGAUACGAAAUAUUAUGGGAAGUUAUUGUUUAUCCUUUAAUGAAGAAGAGUUGCCUUUUGAGGGAGUAAUGCAUAACAAAUCCUUGCACAUCACUGUCGUUUGUCGAGACUAUGUGAUUAAUCGGGUAUUGAUAGAUAACGGAUCUGAUUUGAAUAUUUGUCCUCUGUCCAUAUUGGUUUAAAUAUGCUAUGAUUUAGGGAAAAUUUGCCAAAGCCACGUAAAUGUGUGGGCAUUUGAUGGAGGACACAGAGAUACCAUAGGUGAAAUCGAUCUGUACAUCCAGAUGAGUCUUACUAAAUUCAAGUCUAGAUUUCACAUUAUGGAUAUCCAUCCUAGUUAUAACCUGCUCUUGGGAAGACCAUGGAUCCAUGGUGCAAAGGCAGUUUCAUCGACCCUUCAUCAGUUACUGAAGUUUAUUUAGGAGGAUCAUAAAAUAGUUAUUCAAGGGGAAGGAAGCCAUGCAAAUCAUCCCAAUGGUUGUGGGCCGAUAAUUAAAGAUAUCUCAAAGGGUAGUAGUUUCUAUACUAUGAAAAUUGUGAAUGCUGCAGAGAAAGAUUUGAUGCCCAAAGCUCCAAUGCCUUCUGUCUACAAAAUAAUUUUGACUGUUAUGUUAAGAAAUGGGUUCGAGCUUGGUCAAGGCUUGGGAAAGGAUCUGGAAGAAAUUAUUGAGCCCAUUAUGGUCCUAGAUAAAGCGUCUAAGUAUGGGCUAGGAUACCAGCCGAUAGAGGAGGAUGAGAAUAAGUCAAAGGUGAGUUUAUCUAGGCCCUUGCCGCUCCUGUACCAAUUAUUUCCCAUGCGUGAGAUGCCAAAUUAUGAUGGUCUUGGGAUGGGAUAGGAAAUUUGUUCGAAGGAUACAAUGCUGAACCAGAUGAUUUCCCUAAGUCCAGUGGGGUGAAGAAGGUUGCACCAGGAGAGGCUUUGCAAAAUUUGACCUCUACACCACUAAUAACCCGUCACCCACCAUGGUAGAUGAAAGGGAAAUUACUAGUAGUUUUUAAAAUUAGUGAUGAUCCGGAGAAGGCCCCGCUAUCCACCAUUCAUGUCUCAAACUUCCUUUUUAUAUUUUACUAUUUUCAAAAAGGCAUGGGCCUCCGGGUCAUGAGCCAUAGUUUAUACUUAUUUCCCAAAUUUCAAUGAAAAGGCCUCCUUUUAUUUAAGAAAAGAAAGUUAGAAUCAUCUGACCCAUCUGGAAAAAAAUUUCAACAGAUUAAGAUAGUACAAUUUGAAUUUGAAUCCUGUUAAGUGUGCUUUUGGUAUGCCAUUCGGGAAAUUAUUGGGGUUCAUAGUAAGCAAAAGGGGCAUCGAACUAGACCCAUCCAAAAUCAAAACAAUUCAGGAUUUGCCACCGCCAAGGACCAAGAAAGAGGUUAUGAGUUUCCUGGAUCAUUUGAAUUACAUUAGCAGGUUCAUUUCCCAGCCAACAGUCAUAUGUGAGCCAAUUCUCAAGAUAUUGAAAAUAAAUGAAUUGAAUGAGUGGACAGAAGAUGUCAGAAAGCUUUUGACCGAAUUAAGGAAUAUUUUUCUGAACCGCCAAUUUUGGUUCCACUAAGGGAAAGAAAUUCUUUGUUGCUUUACCUGUCAGUCUCAGAAAAUGCUUUCAGAUGUGUCUUCGGGAAAUAUGAUGAGACCGGUAAGAAAGAGAAAGCCAUCUACUACUUAAGUAAAAAGUUUAUGUCGUAUGAAUUCCGCUACACUCUUAUAGAAAGGACAUGUUGUGCUUUAACUUGGGCCGCACAAAAGUUGAGGCAUUAUCUGUCGUCAUACACAACAUACCUCAUUUCCAAAAUGGAUCCAUUGAAGUAUAUAUUCCAGAAAGCCAUGCUUAUGGGAAAGCUAGCCAAGUGACAAAUAUUGCUGAGUGAGUUCGACAUUGUGUAUGUGACUCAAAAGGCAAUAAAGGGGAAAGCCUUAGUAGAUUAUUUAGCAGAGAAUCCGAUUGAUGACGAAUAUAAGACGCUUCGAACAUACUUCCCAAAUGAAGAGAUUUUAUUUAUAGAAAAAGACAUCAUGGAGAGUUAUCCCAGAUGGAGGAUGUUCUUUGAUGGAGCAUUCAAUUUUAAAGGUUCAGGAAUCGAAGCAGUUUUAGUGUCAGAAAUAGGACAACACUAUCCAGUAACAGCUAAGUUGUGUUUCCUAUGCACCAAUAACAUGGACGAAUAUAAAGCUUGCAUCCUAGGAAUCAAAUUGGUGCUUUAUAUGGUUUUUCAUGAAUUUCUAGUCAUCAAAGACUCAGAUUUGUUGAUUCAUAAAGUACAAGGAGAGUGGGCGGUAAAGAACUCCAAGAUUAGUCCUUAUAUGGAGCUGGUGCAAGAAUUAAGUGGUAGAUUCAAGGAAGUUGACUUCAGACAUAUCCCAAGGAUACAGAAUGAGUUUGAUGAUGCUUUGGACACUAUAUCCUCCAUAAUUCAACAACCGAAUCAGAGUUACAUCGAUUCUUUAGAAAUAAGCUUGAAAGAGUAACCCACGCAUUGUGUGCAUGUCGAAGAGGAUCCUGACGGAAAGCCAUGGUACUAUGAUAUUAAAAGGUAUAUAGAAUCUGGAAUAUAUCCUGAAGAGACAAGCAACAAUAAAAAAAAGAAGAUCCGACGUCUGGCAAAAAAUUAUUUUCCAAGUGGGGAAAUCCUUUUAGGAGUACUCCAGAUUUAGGAUUCUUAAGAUGUGUUGACACUGCAGAAGCAAUAAAUUAAUAAAAAAAAGUACACGCUAGAGUUUGCGAGCCCCACAUGAAUGGGUUUGACAUUGCUAUAAAGAUCCUGAGAACUGGUUACUUCUGGAUGAUUAUGGAAAAUGAUUGUAGCAAGUAUGUGCAGAAGUGUCCAAAAUAUCAGAUACACAGAGAUUUGAUUCAAAUGCCGUCAUAUGAGCUUUAUGCGAUGAGUUUACCUUGGACUUUCUUAGCUUGGGGUAUGGAUGUUAUCGGAUCAAUAGAACCCACCACAUAAAAUGGGCAUAGAUUUAUUUUGGUUGCUAUUGAUUACUUUACUAAGUGGGUCGAAGAUACUUCAUAUAGAUCCAUCACCAAGAAAGUGGUUGCGGAUUUCGUUAGGAAUAACCUAAUUUGCCGAUUUGGAGUACCAGAAUCGAUCAUUGCUGAUAAUGGGGAAAACUUGAAUAGUCAGUUGAUGAAUAAAAUUUGUGAUCAGUUCAACAUCGUGCAUCACAACUCGACUGCAUAUCGUCAACAGAUGAAUGGAUCCAUGGAAGCCGCCAAUAAGAACAUCAAAAGGAUAUUAAGGAAGAUGGUCAAAAAUGAUAGGUCAUGGCAUGAGAUGUUGUCCUAAGCUCUACUAGGGUAUUGUACAACAGUUCGAACUUCCACCGGGGUGACUCCUUAUUAAUUUGUUUAUAAGAAUGAAGUUGUGAUACCUGUUGAGGUUGAGAUACCUUCUUUAAGGACUAUUCAGGAAGCCGGACUAAGUAACGAUGAAUGGGUUCGCUCUCUCUAUGAACAAAUCAUGUUGAUUGAUGAAAAGAGAAUGGUUACCAUGUGUCACCAGUUGCACCAACAUAGGAUGGUCCGUGCCUUCAACAAGAAAGUACAAACUCAAAUAUUUGAAUUCGGAAAAUUAGUUCUCAAGCGCAUGUUCCCACACCAAGAAGAGUAUAAAGACAACUUCGCUCCGAACUGGCAAGGGCCAUACAUAGUUCGCAAGGUACUAUCCGGAGGAGCUCUGAUUCUAUCUGAGAUGGAUGGCCAAGAGUUGACCAAACCAAUUAAUUCUGAUGUGCUAAAGUGGUACUAUGUUUGAAGGAUGUUCUAGUUUUUGUUUCCUUAGUUUAUUUGUAAUCAUAUUUUUAAUAAUGUUUAUUUUCUACUAUGUAAUUGCAUAGAAUCCCUUUUCUUUUAUGUAUGAAAUACGUUUGACCUGAAUUUCCAAAAAAAGAUACGUAGGCGGCCUAUAUCGGCUUCGAUCAACCUCUUAGGAAAAUUUAUCCUUUCCUUUCAUGUAUGAACUAUGUGGUGACUUGAAUUCACAAAAAGAAAUACGUAGGCGGCCUAUGCCGGCUUCUGUCAACCCAUUAGAUUUUCCAUAUAUCCUUAGCGUAGUCCUGAACUACUUUUGACCUGAUUCCUGCUUCAACGAGAUAUGUAGGCACCCCAACGGUUCGGUUAUAUAACCCCAAGAAAUAGAAACUGGGGCAGAAUUUUCGAGAAGAAAUCUCAAAAAUUCACAAGAGGAAGAUCAAAGAGAAUGAAGAUCGACAAAGACUUCAGAUCCUCUCAAGCUGAGAUCAUCUCAAACAACUCUAAGCUGGGGAAGAAAUUUUGAGGAAGGCCUCAAAAUUUCCACCAAACACUGGAAUAUAUUUCAAAUUCCCUAACACUAGAAGUCAAAAGUCAAAGUUUUGAAAAUUACCGGCUGCGACAAAGUUUAGGUAGAAUCAUUCACCAGCUAUAAUAAAACAGUUUGAAGAACCCUCCAAUAAUGAUGAUGAGUUUUGAAAAUCCUCCGUCGGGUAUACUCAAACCAAGAGGAAGACGUUCGUUGAGCUAGUUCAUGACAUGACUGGCAGAGAUUUUCUAAAGCUUUUGCAGAAAAUUUUAAAACUAUUUUCUAAAUUAAGACUACUCUAAAAAAUCUAUACAAAUAUUUUACUUAGUGAUUUCCUUGGCGUCUAUUGGAACAGGGAGUCAGGGAGGAGGUCCCAACAUGAUGGAGUACCCAAAAAAUGGUGAAGAGCAAACCAAGGAUCGAAGGAGAUCAACACAGAGUAGUUUCUAAAACUAAUCAUUUUUCUGUGGAUGCAGGGAUCAAUACACAAAAAUCAGAGUCUUUUUCAAAAAUCCCAAAGCAAGUUGGGAGCCACACCAAAGCAUAUAAUGUUCAAGAACAGUAUUUUUGGGUAUCCCUAAAAAUAGGUUUAAUACCCAUUUAUAGAGGACCUUUUGAAUUGUCUAUCUCAUUUCUUAAGACCAUGAAAGAAAAACGAGAGCGCCUUAUCUUCUUUAUCAAUAUUUUAUUUAGAAUUUUCCUAAAAAUAGUCGGUAGAAAAAGCGACUUUGUGUCUACUAAAUAUUUAUUUUGAGCGCAGGUGCAUUUAAGGGAGUCAGCACAACAAAUACGACAAUCAAAAGGGUUGCUCAACAGGAGGAAGAGCGGAAAGUCAUUCUCAAAAUUUGCCUUAAAGCGAAGCAAACAGUAUUUGAGUAACGCCUAAAUAAGGACUUUUCCACAUUUACUUGCAUCCGAUGGUUUUUCUAUUUAAUUAUUUCUUCUAAAAAGAGAAGAUUAAUAGUGGAAUAAGUCAUUCAAAUCCUGAUACUCAGUAUUUGUCAUUAAACUGUCAUAAAUCUUGACUGUAGUUGCCAGUGAGAGCGACAUUGUAUUUGCUAACUGUCUACCUUGAGUACAGGUACAUGUAGAAAGAAAAACGAAGACAAGCCAACUUAAGUGAAACUAUUUUCAAAUCCCCGUAAGAACUAUUUCAUAUCAUCUCAUUGCCAAGAGGGCCAUUUAAUAUCCGUUGACACGAGAGACAUAAACACUAGCAUCAAGGAUAUCAUUAGCAUUUAAUAUUUGUUGACAAGUGAUACGCAAAUGCUAGCAUCAAGGAUAUCACCAGUAUUCAAUAUUUGUUGACAUGCGAGACAUAAAAGCUAUGUUGAGGAUAUCAUCAAUAUUCAAUAUUUGUUGACACGUGAGACAUAAACGCUGGCAUAAAAAAUAUCAUUAGUAUUCAAUAUUUGUUGACACACGAGACACAAACGCUGGCAUUGAGGAUAUCAUCAGCAUUCAAAUAUAUGUUGACACGUGAGACACAAACACUGGUGUCGAGGAUAUUAUCAAUAUUUAAUAUCUGUUGACACGUGAGACAUAAAUGUUGGCAUCAAGGAUAUCGUCAGUAUUCAAUAUUUUUUGACACACAAGACACAAACGAUGGCAUCGAGAAUAUCAUUAGUAUUCAAUAUCUGUUGACACGUGAGAGACAAACACUAGGGUCGAGGAUAUCAUCAGUAUUCAAAUAUUUGUUAACAUACGAGACACAAAUGUUGGAGCUGAGGAUAUCAUCAACAUUUAAUAUCUAUUGACACGCGAGACACUAAUGCUGGUGUUGAGGAUAGCUCAUCAUUUUAUGAAUCAAUAUCUGAAUGUAUCAAGAGCACAUAAUUUGAAGGGACGCCUUUAAGUCGCUAUAUGAAGAUGAGUGAUAUAUGAGAUUUCUAAGAAAUUGACAAUUUGAGGGUCAUUUAUAAGUCAUAUUAUUUGAAAUAGGAUAGUGUGCAAGAUUACCUCUGAGUUGAUAUCCCAUAGGUCAUCCGUAAGCCGCAACAACAUCCGAACUGGAUAGUGUACAAGGUUACUCAAAAAUUAAUAGUCUGAAGGUUAUCCAUCAGUCGCAACUAAAUCCUUACCGGAGAAUAUAUGAGAUUAUUAAAUUAAGUCCAAGGGUUCUCUAUAAGCCGCGUUAUAUCCAAGAUCAAUUAUGUGCAGUAUUACCCAAGGACUACCAAUUUGAGAAUACCUAUAAGCCAUAUUGUAUCCAAGGUCGGAUGAUGUGCAGGAAUACCUGAGAACUAGCGAAUAGAGAGAUAUCUGUAAGCCAUCUCUUAUCUAAGGUAGGAUAAUGUGAGGGAUUACCUAUGGGCUAGCAAUUCAAAGUAUAUCUUUAAGUCGCCUCAUAUCCAACAUCAAAUAAUGCAUAAGAUUAUACAAAGAUUGAUCAUUCUAGGGAAAUCUAUAAGUCAUAUCAAUACAAAAGAUGUGCAAGACUUUUUUGAGAUCAUAUGCAAAGAACUAUCAUCAAUAACCAGAAAGGUUAUCAUUCCACAAGUAUUAUAGGUGACUUAAAAAGGUUUCCGCAUCAACAUAAGAUUAAGUGGUUGCAGGGACCAUUCUAGAUAUAGUGUCAUCGGUGUCCAAAAAGGGCCACCCCACUUUGAAAACAUAUUCAACCGAUAAAUGAGAUAAUUAUACAACAAACAAGAGAGCUGUUGGGUCAGUUAUUUCAAGUUGUUUCCUUCCAAACAGGUACAUGAGAAGAAUAACUUCAUUUUUUUUUUAAUAACAACUCAUGUGGAGGUAUGGUAAGAAACUAAAUACCUCUUUCGUGAAUUGUGCUUAUAACUAACAAUUUUGUUUGAAACAUUAUCGAGAGAAUAUGAGAGGAUGAAAAUCUCAAAUCAAAAUCAUAGAUGCGAACGACUCCAUAUAGGACGCAGCACAACAUGGAACUCUUUCUUAGCAUCAAAAUGGGACAUCGUCUAGAGAGGGACGCCAGACUCUCUGGAUGCGAGCUAAAGGAUGACCACCACCACCAUAUAACCACACCCCUGUUAGAAGGCAUGUGGGUAUUUUGGGAUAUUCUGGUUUCAUCUUCACCUUCGAAAUAUUUCUAAACUCAUGCCGAGGAUAAACUUCUCUUUCUUUCAAAUUCAAGUGAUAUGACGCCUAGAGUUUUGGAAAUUAUGUCCAGGUAAGUUCUUGCCUAUGGAUGUGAAGGAUCCCACAUUCAUGGUUAAUAGGUUACAAGCCUCUUUUUCAUAACUCGAACAACUUGUCACUCAUCCCGAAUCAAAGAUCGUCUAAAAUAAAAAACUAUCUUUUCUACCGAUUGAGUCAAACUACAACCAGUCUGCUUCCCUGAGACUCGAGGAUAUGUAGGCUGGGAUUUAUUUUGAAAACUCAACUGUAUUCCAACCUUCCCUCAGAUCCCUCUAUAUUCCCCAGCUUUUUGGUUUUCUCAAAAACUCCAAAAUUGAGAUAGUCUGUAAUUUUUUGAAAUCGUACUUUGAAUCAAGCUUUAUGAACUAGAAGUGACCUGAUAUCUCAUGUAACUUGAUAUAUGUAGGAAACACGAUACCGAGGUCCGGCCAUAACUCUAUGAAACUCGUGCGAAAGCCAACCUCUUUCAGAUUCAAAUUUGUGGUUGGACAAAAAAUUAGGAACGUAAACCUCCCUUUGCCCAGGGUUACUUGCAUCCACCCUUCCCAAAGGGAGGGGGGAAGUUGUUGACACCUAAUUUUUGCCCUCCACGACUAAAUUUAAUUCUGAGUUUCUUCGAUUUUUAAUAAAAUUGAAAUAUUUAUUUCAUCUGAAUAAAAAAAUUUCAAAAUAUUUUUUGUACGUAAUUUUAUCAUGUUAAGUAGUGAUUAUAUAUUAUCAUUAUAUGAGAUUAUAUAAUUUGAUUACUUAAAUAUUUAUUCUAUCAAAUAUUGAAUUUUAAUUCAGGAUUAUUCUAAAAAUAAAUGUACUGAUUAAAGUCUUAAUUUUAAUAUAAUUUAUUAUCAAAAUAAUUUAUUUGGAUAAAAAUGCAUUUGAUUUUAUUAAAUCAAGAAGCUCAGGAUUAAAGAAAGUAUUAAUUCGUUUCGAAUUUUAAUUUAAUUUGGUCAAUCUAUUAGAUUUGACCAUAAUUGAAAUUAAAUUGACCAUAAUUUUCAUGCAAUUGGCCAAUUAACUUUUAAUUUGGUUAAAAUGUAAAUAGAAUGGGCCAAAUUAAAAUUGAGAUUAAUUUCGAAUAACCCCAAAUCUAAUUGGGGUUAUUUUCUAAAUAACCCUAUAAUCUACCUAAUACCCAAUUCUGCCAAGCCCAAAUAUACCCAGUCAGCGCAAUAAUUAAUUAAACCAACACCCAAAUAACCCAAGAUCAAAAAAAUAAUUAUCCAACAAUCAGCAAGCCGAAAGCAGCCCAAAUCUCACUGACCUAGCCCAUUAAAGCCUCUGACCUUGCCCAUUCUCCAUAUAUUACACACAACAACAAAAGCUUCACAGAACAAUGGCAAAAUUCCAAAGCACCGACAACAACACAGCUAACGACAAUCGACCCAUCUCCAACGACCCGACUAGCGGUGACCCAUCCAAACGCAAAACCAACCCAAUUUCAACGCAUACAAAAUAAACACUCGUAAGAGACAAACCUCAACAAUGAUUAUUAGAAACGGUCGAUUCUAGCACAUAGGAACAACACCUCAAUCUUUGUCCUUUCUCAUCCAAAUUCAUACCAUACGUGGCUUGAAUUGCCUUAAUCUCCAAAGAUAUUAUUCGAAUUUCAAAUUUUUGGAAUCAAUUUCCCCCCAAAUCCAUGGAACUUAUAGAACAUUCUGAGAAUUUCUACCUAUUGGCUCUUCAUUGGUCGAUUGUAAGGGAAAUAACGAUGACCCCUCUCAUCAUCGUCCAUUUUUGUAGAGAUUGAUUCAUGGCCAUGUGAUUUAAGUUUUUUUUACCCAAAUCCCACAUCGAUGGACAGGAAUUCGUCCCUCAAUUCGCCUCUGAAUAAGGAGCUCACUGUUGAGCUGGGAGGAGGGUUGGAAAAAAAAAUUCACAAAGCAAAAACACACACAAAAAAGGGAAAAAAAUUGGUCGCAAGAAUUGGUGAGAAUUUUCGUUAGUAAAAUUUUUAGGAAAGGCAGUCGUCUAGUGGAGCCUUUUGUAGCGGCAUUGAAAUUUUUGGUGGUGGUGAAGUCCAAAGGAACUCGAGGUUCUAUUUUGCUACUCCCGAACUGGUAAUAUCCCAUUCCAUUGAUCUUUCAAUUGUUUCUACUUCAUCAUGACCUUCUGUAGUUGUGAGUAAGUGUUCAGUAAUAUUUUAUGCUGGGUUGUUUGCUGGUAGAUGGCUUUGAUAGCCGUAGGUUUCAUUCGUGAUAGUUAUCAUCAUGUCGAUAUUUGAAUCAAUGUGUACGAUGUUACUGCUUAGUACUGUUAAGGACAUGUUCUUAACCAAAACACUUUAAAUCCAUUAUUUUUAUCUAUGUUCUUUCUUUUGAUUUAUGGCAUGUUAUAUGGUCUGAACAACGUUUAUUGAUGGAUUUUUGAUCAAAUACUCUCAUUUUGUAUACUGGUUGAUAUUUGAAUAAGCUGGUUUCACAGUAAAGUUUCAUGCUUUGAAUUUGUUUAGUAGUGUCAGGCUAACGAUGUUUUGUUAUAGGUAGUUUCAUAAUAAAGUUUCAUGCUUUGAAUUUGUUUAGUAGUUUUGGGCUAACGAUGUUUUGUUAGAGUUGGUUUCAUAACUAAAGUUUCAUGCUUUGACGCGUUUGAUAGUCUCGGGCUGAUAACCGUCUUGAUUAGUUGUUACAUCUUUGGCUGUCUACCUUGCCAUUUUUAGUUUGUUUGUCAUGCCUUUUGAUAUCAAAAAUCUGAAAUUUAGAUUUCUGUUUGCUUUCGAUUUGUGUGUUCUGAAUAGAAAGUAAAUUUGAUAGUGUUUUAUUGAAUUGCCAGAUACUUGAAUAGGUCAGUUUGAGGAGAAUGUCUCUACUUUUGUUGCUAUUAUGCUAUACGCAUAGUUUAUGUUUGGACUGAGGAUUCCCUGAGAUUUCUUUUCCUUGGUCAAUAUAAUCAAGAAAAGAGGAAUGAAGUCAUAUUCAUUUUGCUGUCGAAAGAAAGACUGAAGGACGGAGUAGAACAUCACUAUGGUCUAUCUCUAUCUUUCGAGAGUCUGUUUCCAAGGUCCUGCUUUGGAUUGUUUGGGAUUCAUAAAUGCAUUUCUGCCCUUAUUUUGUCGGAUUUGAUUAUCAUACAGUAGUUUCCUUAGGCACUAAGACCCUUACUAUCAUAACUAUUUAACUUGAUGUCUAUAGCAUUUCGAGUCCAAGAAAGAAGCUUUGGUUGUUCAUCAGUAUUUGCUAUUUGAUGCUUAAAGUUUUGCCUACGCAUUAGUUGUUCCUACUGGUUUCUUCUUGAAUGUAACUUUGAUAUAGAGGAUUCUUUCUCAAAAGGGUUGCCUUUUAAGUUUCUAAUAAUGCCCCUUUAGGCCUGCCAAUAUCUUUUUUAAAAAUUUUGGUCUAGAAAUGGAUUCAUUUUCUGGUUUUCUUUAUUGGUUUGGUAUUGGCCGAUUUUCGUGUUAAUGUUUCUCCCUUACGAGCAUAUCUCCUUGUUGGUUAAUCGAAUUUUAUUUAUUGAAGAUCUAUGUUAUGUCAUUUUCUUUAGUCGAUUAGGUAUCGGUUUCCCUUUAUAUGCUUUUUCUAACUGUCUCUAUCUUUUUUUCUUUAUUUCUUAUUGCUUGCCUCCUUAGUUUUCCUAAAUUUGUGUUUUAUAUUACUGUGUGCUUCUAGGGGAUAGAUUGAUGUAAUGUGUUGUAAUGAUACUUUACUUGAUCAUCUUUAUAAAAAGGACGAGACUUCAUUAAUUUAUUUAAUCAGUAAAUCAUAGCCUCUUCUUUCUCUCCACCUUUUUUGUGUCCUACAUUUCCAACUUUUAACAUUUUUGGAGUUGUUUUUUUUGUCGUAAGAACUAACAUGCAUCCUGAGUCUUCCCUUUAACACUUACUCUUUGCGGGAUAUAUAUUAAUGUGUUUUAUUUUCUUUCUUUGCAUGGAAAUUAUUUGAGUCCUACAUGGACUCGUCCCUAUUUGCAUAUCUAUCAUGGCCAAUGAGACCUAUUUUUUGAGUCAAGCCCAAAGCCGAUUAAAUCGUGCAUGAAUACAAGGAGUUGAAAGAGGAAAAAUGGGUUAAAGUUCCACAUUUGAAGUGGCUAAGUUACUCAAAAGUCUCAUUUAUUAUUCUAUUUUAUUUUAUUUAAUUAUUGUUGCAUUUAUUUAUUUUAUUUACUUAUUUAUUCAUUCAUUCAUUUAAUUGGGGUCUCGAAGCCAAAGUUGUAAAUUUAAUACAGGUGGAGCAAGACUCGAGCCAAAGGUUCAAAAAUUAGAUUAGGACAGGUGAAAUGGGUUGAAAGCCCAAUUAGACUAGGAUAAGUCUCAUUGAUUUGAGCCCAAUAGCCUAAAUCUUUUUGUUUUCUCCUCCCUUUCCCCUUUUGUGUGUUUAUUUAUUUAGACUUAGUUAAAAUCCCUACUAAAUCGCCUAAAUCUAUUUUACGCAAGUCUUUGCUAAAAAUUUGAUCACUUUUUAACAAAUCAAUCUUUUUGAAGUUAGUCAAAAGAUAUUUUCAAACAGUCCGGAUAACCGCAAGUUAACGGACGUUUUAGGUGCCUUAAAACCUUCCUAAAACGUUAAUAGGAACCGCUUACUCAGAAUCUUUGAAACUUAAAUGAUAUGUUUGUUUUGGAUCGUUUAAGUAACUUUCAAAGGCUUUCUUAAUUUCUUUUCAAAUAAAUUAAGUGGCGACUCUUAAAAAAGUUAAAAUUUUUGCAAAACACAUGUAUUUAGAAUGUCGGGAUAAAGAUAAGGGCUAUUAAACAGAUGCCUUUUAAACAUUAGCUUUAACUAUGUAGCUUGUAAUAUUCUAGGCACCCAUAGGCUAUACGGGUUUUACUUCUUUUGCUGGAAGGGUCUUAGUCCAUAUUAUCAGCACGUACCGAGGAAUGGCUAAAGACACCAAGGCGAUAGCCAUCCAAAAUAUAUUGUGUAUCUAGACACAGAGGUCAUGUCGACCUUCAAUGCCGGCAAAAGUGGUUUUAAGUGUUGGUCCCCUUUCCCUCGGGACUAUACCUUAUCGAUGAGCUACACAAUUCCCUUUAAGCUCAAAUUAAAAUAAUUUGCACAUAAAUCAACCAUUAACCAACGAGUCUUUCAUUAAGGCAUUUUAUCAUUGUACCAAUAUGAUUGCAAGUUAUUCCAUCUUUGCCAAACUAAUCCAUAUAACCAAAUUGACUACAAUUGCUAGCUUUAAAAUCCAAAUCAUAGCCACUAAGCGAAUCCAAAACCAUUUUAUCCAUUUAUCCUUUAAUUCUAUGCAAUUUUUUCAAAAGAUAAGCUAGCUUGUGUGAAAAUUCAUAUUCAAAUCCAAGAUUAUAAUGUGGCGUGAGGUUAAUGUCAUCAUCAUGCAAAAAGUUCAUCAAUAUGGUGAAAUCCAUGUCACCCAUUUUAACCAUUAUAACAAUGCACAAAUUUAGUUCCAAAAGUCAUCAAUUAAAGCAUGGAUAACCCACUAAAAAUAAGAGAAAAGUAAUUCUAGCGCUAACAAACAAAAACCCUCAACUCAAGUUUAAACCCAUCAUUCAAAAUACAUGAAUAUUGAAUAAAUUGAUGCAAUAAUAUAAAAUAUAAUAUAGGGAGUGUAAAACAUGCCUUAUUUGAAGAGAAUCUUUGAAGAAGAUAGGAUGACUUGAACCUACAAACCUUGAAAUUGAGGAAUCCUUCUUGAUGUUCUUGGGAGAAAUAGAAUGAGGAAUUUUGGGAUCCUUCUACUAGUUUUGGAUGACCUUAGAGUUAUAAAAUGGAUUGGGGGAGUUAUAAGGAGUGAAAGGACCAUUUUGCCCUUGAUUUAAUAUGGGAAAAACAUGUUUUAACAUCUAGGAAGGGAGGGUCACGCCUCGAUUCCCAUCG